Acanthosepion pharaonis is the source of this 110-nucleotide non-coding RNA. The record is from the annotation of a GenBank genome assembly. NCBI's taxonomy places the organism in Eukaryota, Metazoa, Mollusca, Cephalopoda, Sepiida, Sepiidae.
UAUGGCCAUAUCAUAUUGAAACACCAGUUUCCAUAUGAUCACAGAAGUUAAGCAACAUCGAGCCUGGUCAGUACUUAGAUUGGUGAUAGCUUGGAUAUACUAGGUGCUAU